Molecule: unclassified non-coding RNA, 173 nt
Filed under: uncultured Ascomycota
Lineage: Eukaryota; Fungi; Ascomycota
Also listed under: 1 other name
Description: sequence contains ITS2
Source: RNAcentral
CACACCUCCUCCGUGGACUUUUAUCGGUCACCGGCAGGGUCUUGGGAUGCGGCCGGUUUUCCCGGCCCCUCCCUAAUGUGGCACGCUUGCGGGCUCCCGGCCAGAUGUCAACGUAGUAAAUUUCAAACUCGUUCCCAGCUGUCGAAGGGCCUCGCCUGAUUCAAACUCUUAUG